GACGAACGCUGGCGGCGUGCUUAACACAUGCAAGUCGAACGGUAAGGCCCUUCGGGGUACACGAGUGGCGAACGGGUGAGUAACACGUGGGUGAUCUGCCCUGCACUUCGGGAUAAGCCUGGGAAACUGGGUCUAAUACCGGAUAGGACCACUGCCUGCAUGGGUGGUGGGGGAAAGCUUUUGCGGUGUGGGAUGGGCCCGCGGGCUAUCAGCUUGUUGGUGGGGUGAUGGCCUACCAAGGCGACGACGGGUAGCCGGCCUGAGGGGGUGACCGGCCACACUUGGACUGGGAUACGGCCCAGACUCCUACGGGAGGCAGCAGUCGGAAGAUUGCACAAUAGGCGCAAGCCUGAUGCAGCGACGCCGCGUGAGGGAUGACGGCCUUCGGGUUGUAAACCUCUUUCAGCACCGACGAAGCGCAAGUGACGGUAGGUGCAGAAGAAGGACCGGCCAACUACGUGCCAGCCGCCGCGGUAA
Molecule: ribosomal RNA, 477 nt
Filed under: uncultured bacterium
Lineage: Bacteria
Description: partial 16S ribosomal RNA
Rfam family: Bacterial small subunit ribosomal RNA
Source: RNAcentral